This 388-nucleotide ribosomal RNA is filed under the name uncultured bacterium. RNAcentral's name for it is "bacterial SSU rRNA". It matches the Rfam family "Bacterial small subunit ribosomal RNA", at positions 29 to 417 of the family's 1533-position model. The record is from RNAcentral.
AUUGAACGCUGGCGGCAUGCCUUACACAUGCAAGUCGAGCGGCAGCGCGGGGGCAACCCUGGCGGCGAGCGGCGGACGGGUGAGUAAUGCAUCGGAACGUGUCCUCUUGUGGGGGAUAACCAGUCGAAAGAUUGGCUAAUACCGCAUGAGCUCGUAAGAGGAAAGCGGGGGAUCCGUAAGGACCUCGCGCGAGAGGAGCGGCCGAUGCCCGAUUAGCUAGUUGGGGGGUAACGGCCUACCAAGGCGACGAUCGGUAGCUGGUCUGAGAGGACGGACCAGCCACACUGGGACUGAGACACGGCCCAGACUCCUACGGGAGGCAGCAGUGGGGAAUUUUGGACAAUGGCGAAAGCCUGAUCCAGCCAUGCCGCGUGUGUGAAGAAGGCCU